This 72-nucleotide transfer RNA is filed under the name Stegodyphus mimosarum. It matches the Rfam family "tRNA". From Rfam's summary of the family: Transfer RNA (tRNA) molecules are approximately 80 nucleotides in length. Their secondary structure includes four short double-helical elements and three loops (D, anti-codon, and T loops). Lineage: Eukaryota; Metazoa; Arthropoda; Arachnida; Araneae; Eresidae. The record is from Rfam by way of RNAcentral.
GCCUUCGUGGUGUAACGGUUAGCACACUCGGCGCGUAUUCGAGAGAUCCAGGUUCGAGUCCCAGCGAGGGCA